Molecule: ribosomal RNA, 828 nt
Filed under: Ramularia vizellae
Lineage: Eukaryota; Fungi; Ascomycota; Dothideomycetes; Mycosphaerellales; Mycosphaerellaceae
Also listed under: 1 other name
Description: eukaryotic LSU rRNA
Rfam family: Eukaryotic large subunit ribosomal RNA
Source: RNAcentral
GCCCUAGUAACGGCGAGUGAAGCGGCAACAGCUCAAAUUUGAAAUCUGGCGCAAGCCCGAGUUGUAAUUUGUAGAGGAUGCUUCUAGGUAGCGACCGGUCUAAGUUCCUUGGAACAGGACGUCAUAGAGGGUGAGAAUCCCGUAUGUGACUGGCCCGCACCUUCUACGUAGCUCCUUCGACGAGUCGAGUUGUUUGGGAAUGCAGCUCUAAAUGGGAGGUAAAUUUCUUCUAAAGCUAAAUACCGGCCAGAGACCGAUAGCGCACAAGUAGAGUGAUCGAAAGAUGAAAAGCACUUUGGAAAGAGAGUUAAAAAGCACGUGAAAUUGUUGAAAGGGAAGCGCUCACAACCAGACUUCUAGGCAGUGUUCCGCCGGUCUUUUGACCGGUCUACUCUCUGUCUCGAGGCCAACAUCAUCUGGGACCGCUGGAUAAGACCUUAGGAAUGUAGCUCCCCUCGGGGAGUGUUAUAGCCUCUGGUGAUGCAGCGAGUCUCGGGUGAGGUCCGCGCUUCGGCAAGGAUGUUGGCGUAAUGGUUGUCAGCGGCCCGUCUUGAAACACGGACCAAGGAGUCUAACAUCUAUGCGAGUGUUCGGGUGUCAAACCCCUACGCGUAAUGAAAGUGAACGGAGGUGGGAAGCGUAAGCUGCACCAUCGACCGAUCCUGAUGUCCUCGGAUGGAUUUGAGUAAGAGCAUAGCUGUUGGGACCCGAAAGAUGGUGAACUAUGCCUGAAUAGGGUGAAGCCAGAGGAAACUCUGGUGGAGGCUCGCAGCGGUUCUGACGUGCAAAUCGAUCGUCAAAUUUGGGUAUAGGGGCGAAAGACUAAUC